Cricetulus griseus (Chinese hamster) is the source of this 107-nucleotide small nuclear RNA. NCBI's taxonomy places the organism in Eukaryota, Metazoa, Chordata, Mammalia, Rodentia, Cricetidae. The record is from Ensembl.
CUGCUAAUUUUAGCAUCACAAGUGCUAAAAUUAAAAGAGUACAGAGAAAAUUCGAGUGGCCAUUGUACCAGGAUGGCAUGCAGAGUUGCAUGGUGUAGAAUAUUCUU